This 366-nucleotide ribosomal RNA is filed under the name uncultured organism. Its description in RNAcentral is "bacterial SSU rRNA". It matches the Rfam family "Bacterial small subunit ribosomal RNA", at positions 526 to 896 of the family's 1533-position model. The record is from RNAcentral.
CGGAGGAUCCAAGCGUUAUCCGGAAUCAUUGGGUUUAAAGGGUCCGUAGGCGGUUUAGUAAGUCAGUGGUGAAAGCCCAUCGCUCAACGGUGGAACGGCCAUUGAUACUGCUAGACUUGAAUUAUUAGGAAGUAACUAGAAUAUGUAGUGUAGCGGUGAAAUGCUUAGAGAUUACAUGGAAUACCAAUUGCGAAGGCAGGUUACUACUAAUGGAUUGACGCUGAUGGACGAAAGCGUGGGUAGCGAACAGGAUUAGAUACCCUGGUAGUCCACGCCGUAAACGGUGGAUACUAGCUGUUGGGAGCGAUCUCAGUGGCUAAGCGAAAGUGAUAAGUAUCCCACCUGGGGAGUACGUUCGCAAGAAUG